RNAcentral lists this ribosomal RNA (213 nucleotides) under uncultured Staphylococcus sp. RNAcentral describes it as "partial 16S ribosomal RNA". It matches the Rfam family "Bacterial small subunit ribosomal RNA", at positions 130 to 334 of the family's 1533-position model. Lineage: Bacteria; Bacillati; Bacillota; Bacilli; Caryophanales; Staphylococcaceae. The record is from RNAcentral.
CUAUAAGACGUGGGAUAACGUUACGGGAAACCGGAGCUAAUACCGGAUAAUAUAUUGAACCGCAUGGUUCAAUAGUGAAAGACGGUUUUGCUGUCACUUAUAGAUGGAUCCGCGCCGCAUUAGCUAGUUGGUAAGGUAACGGCUUACCAAGGCAACGAUGCGUAGCCGACCUGAGAGGGUGAUCGGCCACACUGGAACUGAGACACGGUCCAG